AUCACGUUCGGAAUGCCCGAGUUGCCAGCGGUAUUUUAUCUCGCGUCGAUUUUUCGUCCCACAGUGCUUGAGUGUUUAUUAUGCAUAUCUUGUGAUGCAAGUGAUGUCAGUGUGAUGGACCUGCAGUCGUCCAUCAUUACUUCGGAUGUCAUGCCCCGGGACUGGCAACGUUUGUGUAAUUACUCCCACGCUGAUGACGUCAGCCAGCGGUCUACGCGAACUGACGCCCUGAGAGAAACGUCAGCUGGGACUAUUACAGCUCUGACAUGCCCGUGAUGUCACCAGUCGUUUAUAGGAUGUGAGGCUGUAAACACAGCAAGCUUGUGAUGAAGUGGCAUUAAUUUUCGCUUAUAUAAAGCUCUUUAUUGCUAAGUGGUAACUCCAGUGGUGCGAUCUUGCAGAAAAAAACGAUAAUAAUAUUUAUAGGAAGAAAAGUGAUGUGAACAAAAAAUAUCAGGAACCGAAAGCUAACGUUGGAAAUGUAUUUAUAUAAAUCUAAAAUUGUGUUGGGCUGGAAGUGUUGUGAAAAUGUGAUUUAAAUCGUCUGUG
Long non-coding RNA from Penaeus monodon (black tiger shrimp), 549 nucleotides. RefSeq lists it as uncharacterized. Lineage: Eukaryota; Metazoa; Arthropoda; Malacostraca; Decapoda; Penaeidae. The transcript is spliced from 2 exons. The record is from RefSeq and is a predicted model, not a curated record.